GAUGAACGCUGGCGGCGUGCCUAAUACAUGCAAGUCGAGCGAACAGACGAGGAGCUUGCUCCUCUGACGUUAGCGGCGGACGGGUGAGUAACACGUGGAUAACCUACCUAUAAGACUGGGAUAACUUCGGGAAACCGGAGCUAAUACCGGAUAAUAUAUUGAACCGCAUGGUUCAAUAGUGAAAGACGGUUUUGCUGUCACUUAUAGAUGGUUCCGCGCCGGAUUAGCUAGUUGGUAGGGUAACGGCAUACCAAGGCAACGAUGCGUAGCCGACCUGCGAGGAGGUGCGGUGGCAAUGGAAGGGGGACACGGUCAGGAGGCCUACGGGAGGGAGGAGUGGGGAAUGGUGGACAAUGGGCGAGAGCCUGAUCAAACGGGGCGGCGUGGGUGAAGAAGGUCUUCGGAUUGUAAAGCACGUUAAGUGGGGAGAAAGGGCAGUAGGUUAAGACCUUGCUGUCUUGACGGUACCAAAAAAAGAAGCACCGGCUAACUACGUG
This 497-nucleotide ribosomal RNA is filed under the name uncultured bacterium. RNAcentral's name for it is "partial 16S ribosomal RNA". It matches the Rfam family "Bacterial small subunit ribosomal RNA", at positions 28 to 507 of the family's 1533-position model. The record is from RNAcentral.